Molecule: ribosomal RNA, 412 nt
Filed under: Metzgeria furcata
Lineage: Eukaryota; Viridiplantae; Streptophyta; Jungermanniopsida; Metzgeriales; Metzgeriaceae
Also listed under: 1 other name
Description: eukaryotic LSU rRNA
Rfam family: 5.8S ribosomal RNA (bases 1-109)
Source: RNAcentral
CAGCGAAAUGCGAUACCUAGUGUGAAUUGCAGAAUUCCGCGAAUCAUCGAGUCUUUGAACGCAAGUUGCGCCCGAGGCUUGUCCCGAGGGCAUGCCUGCCUGAGCGUCACCGCACUCCCACCCGACGUACCCUCGUCGCGAGUGGAACUGGCCGUCCGGGGUCGGGCGUCGAUGCCCAGUGCCGCGGUCGGCUGAAAUGGAGCGUUCCGGACGUAGCCGGAGAGGGGGAUAGCGAGAAGGUGAUCCGCCUUCGGGCGGAGUCUAUUUUGACAGCGUCCCUCGAUCCGGAGGGUCCCACGGAACUCGGAGCGGGAGCUCGCCCGGUCGAUCGUCCGCGGUCGACCGGGAGAGUCACACCACGGCUCGGACCUCAGAUCAGGCAAGAUUACCCGCUGAGUUUAAGCAUAUCACU